RNAcentral lists this ribosomal RNA (662 nucleotides) under uncultured Clostridium sp. RNAcentral describes it as "bacterial SSU rRNA". It matches the Rfam family "Bacterial small subunit ribosomal RNA", at positions 95 to 776 of the family's 1533-position model. Lineage: Bacteria; Bacillati; Bacillota; Clostridia; Eubacteriales; Clostridiaceae. The record is from RNAcentral.
GCGGCGGACGGGUGAGUAACGCGUGGGUAACCUGCCCUGUACACACGGAUAACAUACCGAAAGGUAUGCUAAUACGGGAUAACAUAAGAAAGUCGCAUGGAUUUCUUAUCAAAGCUUUUGCGGUACAGGAUGGACCCGCGUCUGAUUAGCUAGUUGGUAAGGUAACGGCUUACCAAGGCGACGAUCAGUAGCCGACCUGAGAGGGUGAUCGGCCACAUUGGAACUGAGACACGGUCCAAACUCCUACGGGAGGCAGCAGUGGGGAAUAUUGCACAAUGGGCGAAAGCCUGAUGCAGCAACGCCGCGUGAGCGAUGAAGGCCUUCGGGUCGUAAAGCUCUGUCCUCAAGGAAGAUAAUGACGGUACUUGAGGAGGAAGCCCCGGCUAACUACGUGCCAGCAGCCGCGGUAAUACGUAGGGGGCUAGCGUUAUCCGGAAUUACUGGGCGUAAAGGGUGCGUAGGCGGUCUUUCAAGUCAGAAGUGAAAGGCUACGGCUCAACCGUAGUAAGCUUUUGAAACUGUAAGACUUGAGUGCAGGAGAGGAGAGUGGAAUUCCUAGUGUAGCGGUGAAAUGCGUAGAUAUUAGGAGGAACACCAGUUGCGAAGGCGGCUCUCUGGACUGUAACUGACGCUGAGGCACGAAAGCGUGGGGAGCAAACAGG